UAAAGGAUUGAACUGCUAAGCACAUUUGUAAACAGCACAGGGGAGAGAUUGUUGCUGUUCUAAUUUAACAGACAGUUUACUGAAUCUGAAUUGAAUAUCAAAAUGUUAGCAAUUCAGAAGGAUCCUCAGUCAGCUAUGAUUCCUAAGUAUUCCAUGAUGGGGCCAUUUAAAGGACACAUGAGCUCUAAAAGCAGCCAUCUGCCCCUAUAGGACGUAAACGAGCGGAAGCUUUACGGCCAGACCAGGAGAUGAAAGAAGACCACCCACAAACAGAAUAAAAUACAACAAGACAAGAAAAGAAAUCUAGCAGUAGCGGGGAAAACCUUGGGCAGACCUCGAAAGUACAUUUUUAAGCUCCGAAGUUGAGGGAACUGGAGAGUGUAGGUCGGAGUCUCGAGCCAUGCAGCACCUUUAUUUUGUAGUUCUGUUAACAGUGUUUUAUUUUCAAUUUUUCUUUGUGCCUUCUGUUUUGAUUAUUGUUUCGUGCACCUGUGUGUGUACCCAAGGUACUCUGUGAAGCCUGAUACCAUUGCUGGUAACAACAGGACAACAGUGCCACCUUGUGAA
Molecule: long non-coding RNA, 567 nt
Organism: Acipenser ruthenus (sterlet)
Lineage: Eukaryota; Metazoa; Chordata; Actinopteri; Acipenseriformes; Acipenseridae
Exons: 3
Source: RefSeq, a predicted model, not a curated record